AGCAGCCGCGGUAAUUCCAGCUCCAAUAGCGUAUAUUAAAGUUGUUGCAGUUAAAAAGCUCGUAGUUGAAUUUCGGGAUUGGCGCAUCGGUCGUGCCUCACGGGGUAUGAACUGGUGCAGUCAAUUUCUCACCUUCUGGAGAACCGCGAUGUCCUUAAUUGGAUGCCGCGGGGAACCAGGACCUUUACUUUGAAAAAAUUAGAGUGUUUAAAGCAGGCAUUUUGCUUGAAUACAUUAGCAUGGAAUAAUAAAAUAGGACGGCACGAUUCUAUUUUGUUGGUUUCUAGGAUCACCGUAAUGAUUAAUAGGGAUAGUUGGGGGCAUUAGUAUUCAAUUGUCAGAGGUGAAAUUCUUGGAUUUAUUGAAGACUAACUACUGCGAAAGCAUUUGCCAAGGAUGUUUUCAUUAAUCAAGAACGAAAGUUAGGGGAUCGAAGACGAUCAGAUACCGUCGUAGUCUUAACCAUAAACUAUGCCGACUAGGAAUCAGACGAUGUUAAUUUUUUAAUGACUCGUUUGGCACCUUACG
This 528-nucleotide ribosomal RNA is filed under the name uncultured Glomeromycotina. Its description in RNAcentral is "SSU rRNA". It matches the Rfam family "Eukaryotic small subunit ribosomal RNA", at positions 569 to 1092 of the family's 1831-position model. The record is from RNAcentral. Lineage: Eukaryota; Fungi; Glomeromycota.